Molecule: ribosomal RNA, 440 nt
Filed under: uncultured bacterium
Lineage: Bacteria
Description: partial 16S ribosomal RNA
Rfam family: Bacterial small subunit ribosomal RNA
Source: RNAcentral
CCUACGGGAGGCAGCAGUGGGGAAUAUUGCACAAUGGGGGAAACCCUGAUGCAGCGACGCCGCGUGAGUGAAGAAGUAAUUCGUUAUGUAAAGCUCUAUCAGCAGGGAAGAAAAUGACGGUACCUGAGUAAGAAGCCCCGGCUAACUACGUGCCAGCAGCAGCGGUAAUAAGUAGGGGGCAAGCGUUAUCCGGAUUUACUGGGUGUAAAGGGAGCGUAGACGGCAGUGCAAGUCUGGAGUGAAAGGCGGGGGCUCAACCCCCGGAAUGCUCUGGAAACUGUACUGCUGGAGUGCAGGAGAGGUAAGUGGAAUUCCUGGUGUAGCGGUGAAAUGCGUAGAUAUUAGGAGGAACACCAGUGGCGAAGGCGGCUUACUGGACUGUAACUGACGUUGAGGCUCGAAAGCGUGGGGAGCAAACAGGAUUAGAUACCCCUGUAGUC